GAAUUUUAGGAAAAAAAAGGGUGUUCUGGAGACGCGUGUCUCUAACCUCACGCAACCAAAAAUCCGGAAAGAAAACUCGAAAAAUCAAUUUCCAACGAAUUCAGUUGAACACUAUUGAUUUUGGAAUCUAGUUUUGGCCGUGGUGAAGGUUUCAUCCUUGAAAAACUCGUAAUCCCAUUCGCUGCCCGGGAAAAAGGUUAACACAUCUUCCUUUUUUCUUUUAGUUGAUUGUUCUUCACCGUCUUCUUUAUAGACUUCUCUCGUUAUCAUAAUGGCUGAGACUGUUUAGUUGAUUGUUCUUCACCGUCUUCUUUAUAGACUUCUCUCGUUAUCAUAAUGGCUGAGACUGUUUGCUGUAGGAACUUAGGAUUUUCUUAUAUUUUUUGUCGAUUUGGUGGCUGUGUUCCUGUAGUUCCUAGGCUGCAUCUUAUUAUGUUUCGUUAUUUGUGUUGUUUGGUGGUAUGUCAGAUUUUGAAAUUAUUUAUUCUUUUUCUUGUUUGUUGCGGGAAUGAAAAUUCACUCAACAAGUUAAACUUCUGUGUGGAUUUCUUGAUUUUGUUAAUAAGUAUAUUUUGUCAAAGAGAAAAUUUGCCUUUUUGUUUCUCUGUAUUGCUUGGAAAACAGUGGCUCGGAAGUCGAUUUUCCUUUUUCCAUUGCUUUCCAUAUUGGUUAUUAGUGUUUACGGAUGUACCAAAUAAAUUUUACUUCCUUAGAUUUGCCUUGUCAUUGGUUUUGUUAUUUGAAAUAGAAUAAUGUCUCUCUAAAGUUGGCACGAUUAAUUCAUUCUCUUGCAAAUAAUUCAUUGUGCUGCAUUUGAUCCAUCUUCUACGUGCACGUUGCAAUUGCCGUUUAAAAUUCGAUAUUGUCUUGAAAUUUCUAAACUCUUUUACUCCAUACAAAUUAAUUCUAGAGUUAAUAGUGGACAUAUAUUAAUAACAAUUUUUUAAGUGUUGCUUUCUUAACUAGUUAUAUUAGUACUAUUUGAAUAAAUUCCAAUCUUUAUAUUUUCUUGAUGCACGUGACACCGACUUGAGUCUCAGCGGACUCCAUUUCCUACAUUUCUCGAUGGACUAGGCCUACAUCUUCUACAAGUUCCAAAUGCCUUCAUUUUUGAAGGAACGAGGCUGGUAUACAUUUGUAUAAGCCUGAUAUAUGAGGUUUACAGGUUAAAAGUGGCUGAUAUAAGUCAAGAGAUGACUUAUGGUAAAGCUAGCAAGAAUAAAAGGUUUUCCAUGCUGUUAUACAGCGUAUAUACAGAAAAAAUGCAGUAAAACGAGGCUGAUAUACAGUCAGUAUACAGCUGGUAUACAACUGCAGAAAUGGACCAAAAGUCCAUAAAGAAUGAGCCCAAAAGUUUUCUAGAUUUGGAAAAGGCCCAUCUUUUAAUUCUUCUUAUUCAUCUCCUUGUAAAUCCUAUUUGAUAAUAUGUUUGCCUUAAAUUAUUAAUUUGGUUAACUUUUAUAAAUCCCCUUCGAAUCAUUAUUUUUGUUUAUCUCUGUAUUUUUCCUUUGUUAUUUUAUAGCGUAAUAUUCGAAAUUAAUAAAAAUAUAUCUUUCUUUAUGUUUUUUCUUAAAAUAAUUUUUUCUAAAAAAAAUAAUCAAAUGACAUUUUAUUUUAUCAACGUGUCAAAGUAGUUCAUUUAAGUUAAAAAGAAUUCUCAUCGACCUAAAAUCAAUUUCCUUUGCAAAAAAUAAAAAUAUUUUCACUAAUUAGUCAAGGCUCAUAAUUUGUUUAAAUUGAUAUUUUUCUUUAAAGACAAAUAUUUUUUUAAUCAAAAAUGAUAUGUAAAAAUCACUUUAUUUCUCCCUUUUAUUUGAAAGAAUAAUUUAUGAAAAAAACGGGUUUAGCUCAACCUUCUUUAUAGGAAAUUUUCUCAAGUUAAAUUGGACUAAUUUUCACUUGGUUGACAAAUGUCAUUUUAAGUCUUCAAAAAAUAGUUAAAGGUAAUAUUUUUUAUAAAAUCAAGUCUUCGUAAAAAUUAGCCACGUUUAGUUAGUCAAGUUAGUUCUUUUUGGUAAAUCGUUUUAAACGGACGCUCCUAAGUGCCUUAAAAACCUUCUUAGAGUGUUAAUUGAACCCUUAUCCAGUUCUCUGGUUUUAAAGGCUUAUUUCUGUUAUUGAGCCUUUGAAACUCUUUUUAAGUUUUUUCGUGAUUUUUUCUAUAAAAAUUAAGUGGCGACUCUAUGAAUUUCUUAAAAUUAUUUUGAAUUUUUUUUGAAUCUUUCUCGUCAAAUGAAUCCGUAAAGAAUAAAACAAAGUUUAAGGAGGGUAGGGUUCAAAAGAGGGAUAAAAAUUGAAUGGCUUACGACUUGUGAUGUGUUUGCCAAAGAAAGGUCAAAAGGCUCAAAGUGGGUGACUAGGGAUAACAUUUAUGCGAGGGUAGACUUUUUAGGCUAGAGUGGACUUUCAAUAUCGCAAAGAUGGCCUAGGAUCAUCUCACCAACCAAGUACAAUCAAAAUUAGUCUUGAUAUACUAAUGGGGCAAGUUCUAGAUGGUACAAGUAUACAUGAGAUUUAAACAAAUAAGUUCACCGCACAUGGCAUACAAAUUCGCCAAGGAGGUUCAAUUGCCCCUCCCGUUAGAGACAAAAAUAGAGUACUUACCAAUUUUCACAAGCCAAAAUUUUGGAGUCAUAAAAAGAGAAAAAGUAUUGAUACAAGAUCGCUCAUGUCUGUACCCUUGAUUUUUGGAAAAAAAAUUAGACGGAGGGGGGUGUUUGCUUUCCAUUUGCACCACAUAUAAUUUGCUAAUUAUGGAACCAACAUAAGCCUUCGUCUCACAUGUUGGCUUUCAUACGGGCAAACCAUAUGGAUACUCAGACUUCGCCAUAGGUAUAAUUAGAUCCCAAAUUCAAAAUGCUACAGGUACUCAGAUUUUUCUUGCAUUUAUUACCUCGAUGCUACGGAUACUCAGACUUCCCCUACAUUCAUGGCUCGAAACUCAAUUACAAUGCUUUUCCCUUAAGAAUGUCCUCACUCAAUCUAUCAUAGGAAAAAGCUAGUCCGAUAUCACCAUAACCAAAAUAAAGAUAAAGUAAAAAUGUAAAAACAAACUAAACAACUAAUCCAUGAAACAUGGGCACCAGCAGAGUGCCCAAAAAAUGCAACCCAGAAACAAAAAAUUAAAAAUCAUCCAAAAAGUCAUCAAAACAUCCAAAAAUAUCUAAAUAAUAUAGAUCCGGGGGCAGGCACCCCCUACUGAAAAGCUAGCAGUGUCCUCACUGCAUAAGUAAUAGAGCAUAAAAUAGAGAUAAGGGUGCUCUCUAAAACUGCAUCAGGAGCUGCUUUCGCUUGCGGACUUGCAUCAUCUCAAUCAGCAUCAGCACCGGACUACUCAGUAGGGGCCUCAUCAUCGCUGUCCAUCCUGGGAGAAGGUAGUCUGUCUCAGAAUAUUAGCACUUUCCACAGGCCCUUUACCUCUUUCUACAUCUUACUGAAAAACUUAUCUUUCUUCUUCUCCCUUUUCUUUAUCUUCUCGUGGGAGUCCCGAAGCUUCCUGUGAUACUCUGCCAACGCUGAGUAUGCCCUUUUGAGCCUAGAAAUGGUGGCUUCUUGAGUCUGUUGGUCCUUUGGAUACUUCUCUUAAUUUGAUCGGGACACAAAUGAGUAGCGGGUGGUGGAGGGCUCUCUUUGCCUCUGGGGCAAUACUGACACAAGCCCCUUGAUGACCCUAAUAUCAACACCAAUAUCUUCAAGAGGCCCAACAGUGAAUGGCCUACAUGACUCUGACUUCUCACAUGUCGACUUUCUCAAGUCGAUCUUUCUAUUUUUCCUUUUUCUCGGUGCACCUUAACCCCAAAUUUUGAGAGGAUAAAUAGGGGUUCAGGGCGCACCCAAGUAUCUCCUGGGUAUUCCGCAACCCCAACUCUCCUGAAUAGCUCAGUGAUCAAAGAAUGGAAUAAGAGAUACAUACCACCAGGGUUUCUGAAGAACUGCAUAUCAGAUAUUACCAACAGAUAUCAUCUGACGACCAACAUUUAAAGAAAAGUUGUCGAGUAUGCAGGGAACCAUAUGGGAACGCAAAUCUGUAGUUGCAGUCAAAUGAAUGCAAGGAGAGAUCCGGCUGCAAAUGAUAUUCAGCUAUAUUCGGGCCUCAGUAGUGAAGUCAUUCAUCGAGAUGCCCCUUUUGGUUGCCACCUACAAGACCUCCUUGACUGGGCACAACCUCUCUACCAUCUAGCUUCCCGGCUCACACCCCUUAGCUUCAAUGUCAACUAUGUCUACAUUUGGGAGCCCAUAUAGAUCAUUGAUUUGUUCCACCUCAAAUUACACAUUCCUCCCCAAAUCCUGAUAACUGGGUUUUUAAAAGAUACUAUACUAAGAUUAGCGUAGAACUCUCGCACCCAUUGCUGAUGUGCCCGGCAAGGAUCCAGAGCAAAACAUCUCCACCUAUUAUCCACGAGCCUAUCAUGCAAUGCUGAAAGAUUUUUCGACACCUUCUCCAAACAUAUACUCCUUUCGGGAAGCAACUUUGUCCUUAGAAACUCAUCGUAGUAUUGGUUGUGGCACUUGGGAGUCAUGAAUCAAAUUUGGUCAUAAUUCUCAAUAAUGUAAACCUAAAAAACAUGAGUACAACAAAAAUAUUUAUCAUCAAUAUUUUCAUGCUUAAACUAGACUAUUUUGUCUUAUAAAACUCAUGGGAUGGGUACUUGGUGGUGUUUGACCAAAAAAUCAAAGUGCAGAAAUUUUGGCCUAGGCUGAGAUUCAGCCUUAGUUAUGGCGAUCACAAGCCACUGAGUUGUGAUUAUGGUGCCGCGAUCGUGACUCGAUAACUGUGAUCACUGGUUCCGCAAUCAUGAUCCCGUGACCGCAAUUAAGGUAACUAAGGCUAGAUUGGGCUAGAUUUUCAAAAGCUUCACAAUCCAAUUUUAAGGCCAAAAUAUGUUUGAAAACAACAGUUAAUCAAUAAGCAUAUCAAACAAAACUUCUAAGUUCUUAAUCAUGCCCUCACGAUGUGAAAAUAAUGAGUUAUAGACUCUUUUGGGCAUUUGAUCGGGCACUUGGUGUGCUCUCUAUACUUUACUCAAAUUCACACAUUUUUUGGAUACUCAAGAUUUUCCCACAUGUAUGCACACUAUUUUUAACAGCUUCACCACACAAGUAAGAUUUAACAAGAAUUUAGCAAGGAAAAACAUAGUUUUAGGCCCUACCUAGUUCAUGCACUCUAAGGCCUACUCACAAUAAUUAAAAACAUGAAUUUAAAGCACUUACCGGAAGAGUGAUGCAAGAUGGAUGCAAAGAUGCUUUUGAAAUGCUCAAAAUAUAGACAGGAACAUGUGUAAUUUGAGAGAAAAGUUGGAGGGGGAAUGUGAGGUAAAUAGGAGACCGGUGGUCUUUUAAACCAUGUCUGGCUGCGAUCGCGGUCAAGGUUCGCGAUCGUUGACAAGCGGAUGAUCGUGAUUGCGACAAAGACCCAACAAUCGUGUUAACAGAGGGCAUUUCUACACCUCUAUUUUCCCCUGUUCAGUCCAACAUGCAAAAAUCCCACUCUUACCCUCUUUCAAACUUAUUCAAUGCACUCUAAAGUGCCAUAAAUGCAUGGAUUAAUCAAUGACAAAAUUAAAAUCUACACUACCAAGUUAAAAAGAAAGGAUACGGGCCACUUUAUGGCGUGAUGGGUUGAUUCCCAUCGAGUGCCAAAUUUUAAUGUCGUGGCACGACACACCUUUUCAAGUAUCAUUUAUGUCUCUACUUAGAAGAUUUAAACUGACGUCCCAUCUUGCAACCAUUAUGUUUUGAGCGAAAGUCGGACAAAAGAUUCAAAUAUUCCAAAAUGAGACGAAAUAAAGUUGAGGAGGUAUUGAUGACUUCUCUAUCUCGCCACUUUGAAGACUUGAAUCGUUUACCCAACUUUACAUCAAACUCUCGAGUAGGCUCAUUGGGUAUUAGUAAGAACAUCAAAAGACUACUAGUUGAAUAUUAGAUUUUCAGCUUUCUUGUCUUCAAAUGAGGGACGUCAUCUCUCCCUUUUAAGAUGACAAACUCCAAAAUAUAAGAAUUUUGUACCCCAUUUCUCAAAUUCGCCAUUUGCUUGGGUGUCUUAACUUUCAUCACAUCCAGCAAGCAUAAUGUUUAAAAAUGAUUAGAAUGAGGUCGUUGUCCCAAUUCUGGAUUCGCAUUCAUCUUGAAAUUCUCAUCCGAAAAUGAACUAAGCCCUCACAAUGGAUUUGCUUAGCUUCUUCUUUGGACUCUAGUACCAAUUCCUUUACUGUGGCAUCCUUUAUUAGUUUUUGUUUGUUUGGUUGGCAAAUCACCAAGGAUUCUUCACUAUCAAGCUCAUAAUCAAGCUCAUGGCUUGAUAUCUUUUCUUUAUCAUCCUUAUUUUGAAGAUUGGGCAUAUACAUGACACUUGAAAGAUUGGUCUCCUCACCCACUUCUUAUUUUUCACUGUCCAUUCCAAAUGCCAUCAUGGGUUGAUUCUAGUGAUGCUGUCCUCCUUCAUUGUAGUCACUCGAUCCAUGAGAUUUAGAAGCAUUGCUGCAACAGGAUUGUAUCCGACAUGUUGUUCUUCCUUUAUCACAUCAUGAGACCUAUCAAAAUCAUAAGAACUAACAUUUUUGUUAGCAUAACUAGGGGAGGGGACAUUUGGACAAUCACUCCAAUGUCCAUCUUGACCACUACAGAAAGAACAAUUUUACUCCUUAUAGUAUUGAGAUGGUGCACACACAUUUUUUCGGGGAGCAUAUUUACAAUCUUGACAAAAGUGGGGUCCACCACAAUAUGGACAUGAAUCAUCAAGAUAAAAUUUGCAACCACCAAACUCAUAUUCAUUUCAAGAUGUCAUAGUAAUAAGCAAGUGAAAAUAAAAAUCUACCUAACACAAGAAACAAAAGAAAAUCACAAACAAAUAUUUACUAGUUUGAAUUCAAGAAACUAAGGUAAAAUUCAAACUAACUCAAUACGUCAAAUUAUUCUCCGACAAUGACGUCAUUUUUGAUAACACUGAACUCACACGUCAAUUUAAGUGCAAAGAGAUCAUUGUCAGUAUAUUACUCAACUUUGAGUCGGGAUCAAAUCCACGAGGAAUAAUGUAACUGAUGAUUGAGUAAGUUCAAAGUGAAAGUUAUUUGCUAAAUUCAAACCUAGGAUACAAGUAGUUUGGGAGAUGUUAAGAGAAUUCAAAAAGAUAACAAAUUGGAUUUCUAACUGACUAAUUUGAGGUUGAGAAUAAUUAGAGCGUAAUCAAUUAGGAACAGAUCUUGGGGCUAUGGUUUACUAGGGACAACUAGUGUGCGGGUACAUGAAAAUCAACUCCAAAUCUUAGCUAAAGUAUGCGUGGGUAGGCUCAGUUAGGGAUUUUGAUACCAUCCAUUCAAUAAAGUACCAAACUAUCAGCUAAGGAUUCUUUCGAAUACCUCGUGGGUGUGGUCAACCAAUCGUUACCAAACCUCAAUUGGGCAUUCCUAUUUCUAAGAAAAUGCCCAAAAUAUAACAAUUCCACAUUUUAUCCUUAUUUCUAAGACAAUAAAAAAAGAGUAACUAUUAUCUAUCUUAUUAUUCACAAAUCCUCAUGUUACCCACAUCCCUCUUUCAAGGAUGGCGUGGUGUUUAGAGAUAUUAAGACUUUCACCAACAAAUUCCAUUUUGCGCCCUAUUCAAUCAAGAAUUUAAGCUAACAAUCACAACCCACACACAUUUGCGCCCUAUUCAAACAUAACCCCAAGAGGGAGAACUAACUACUCAUAAGGAUAAUAAAUAAAGACAUACCAAAAUCUCCAUCAAAUAGAUUCAUGAAAGAUAAAGAAGAUGCGAAUUCAAACUUUAAGUUUCAAUAAAUCUUAAGUGGAAAAUGCUAAUCCUUCACUUAGAAGUUACUCUAAUGUAUUCUUCACCCUAUACUGGAAGAGAUUUCCAAAAAUUGGGAAUUUUUCUCUAUGAGAGAGGGUUUGGUCUCUUAAGGAAAUUGGGGACGGCUGUUGUGAAAUUACAAAACUGCCGCGUUGCCACGAUUGCUGACAUUUGUCCGUAAUCGUGGAUGCUGCAUCCGCGGUUAAAAACUCGCGAUCGCGCUUCUUUAACCUAGCAUUACUGGCUGCGAUCAUGGUCUGAGGACGACGAUCGCGGUAAUUGAGGCUGGUUUCUGCUUCAAGUCUUCUAGCUGUACUUCUUUUCUUCUUUUUGAUCCUUUUUAGCUUUAAUCCACAUCUUUCCAUCUCAUUUUUUGAUCCUUUUUAGCUUUAAUCCAUAUCUUUCCAUCUCAUAACUUGUCUGUCUGCAAAAUGUAAAAAUUAGUGCAUUUAAUCGCAAAUAUGUCUCAUUUAUACAUUCAAUUCAUAGUAGCGGGCAAGAAUGUUGAGUGCAAAUGAGUGGUAAAUUUGCCAUUCAUCAUCCACCAUUUUCACCAUCUUUGAAGCUUGAUAACUCGAAUUUGAGCAUUUUCAAAGAAAUUUUUGAGAUUUUCUUCAUGGGUAUGUUUCUAAACAUUGUAUUAUUAUUUUUCACGGAUUUCACUAUCAAUUUACCUUUAAAUCUUCAAUUCUAAAUUUUAUUUUGCAAUUUUCAUGAUAAAGUUUAAAAAUAAUAUUUUUUCAAUUUGGACCUCAUUUUUAAUUUAUUUUUACAUGAAUUUUCAGUUUUAGGUUCCUAAUGUAAUAAAAAUGUGUUUGCAAAAAUAAACUUUCAGUUUAAUCCUUUUUUAUUCGGGAUUAAUUUUUGCAUUUUUUGUAAAUUCGAAAUAAAUAUAGUUGGUGUGAGUAUCAUUGAGCCCUUUUUUGACUUAUAAAUGUCAUAUUUGAUUGGAUUGGACGCAUUUGGUGUUGAUUCAAGAGAGUUGGGAUUUCAAUUGAGGUUUUAGACUACAUUUGAAUUUGCGGAUCUUAAUUUAAGGCAUGCUAAGAUGUUCAUUGACUUUUUUCCGAAGUGUUUAUGUAUUGUAUGUUUGUUUAAUUUUUUUUUUUUGUGUAUCGCUUAGGAUUGUGGGUCCCACUUAGGUGAAAUGACGAGCAUCCCCUUGGAUACCGGAGUCUUUGAUGGAUUGUCGUUGGAUUAUUACCUUGAUUACUUAGUACUACUAUUAUUAAAUAUUCUUAGAUUGAAAUGUAGAUAGAUAACCUAGUGAUUCUCAAAUAAUGAAGAAUGGAUUGUCAUUUUAGAGCUUGAAUCUUGUUAGCGAACUUUAUUUGGAUGAUAGUGGGUUAGUGCCUUGUUAGGGGAUAAUUAUGUUAUUAUCAUCAUUAUUUUGAUGGAAUGAUUGAAUAUUUAGAGAAUACUUAGAGUAUGAAUAUACUUGUAAUAGCUGAUGAGAGUUAAUGAAUGGGCCAAGUUAGGUUUGGGUAGUCCGCAAUUUAUUAUAAUUGAGAUUGUUAUUUAUUUUGUGAUGCUCGUGUCGGGCUUAUGUGAACUUCAUUAUGGACUUGAGUAGUUAUUUGUGAUUGUAUAUCCGGGUAGGGGCUUAUAUGCAUAUUGCUUUUAAUUUGAGAGGAUAUACUAUUGUGAUGCUCGAGUGGGGGCUUGACUUGAUGUUGUUAGUCAUGUUUUGUUCAUUAAAUGACUAAUUUAUUAUUGCAUCUUUCGAGUGGAGGCUUGAUUUGACAUUGUAGUCCUUAUAUGAGUAUUUAAUUGCAUAUUCAUUACAGUGAUGUCCGACUGAGGAGUUGGGAGUGAUAAUAUUAAUGACCACAUGACUAUUUAUUUUGGUGGUGCCAAGUGGAGGAACGGAAUGAAGAAUAGAAGGAAUAUGGAUCAUAUCUUUAAUCAUUAGAUAUUAGUCAUUUGAGGAUGAUUUGUGUUUAGGAUAGAGAUAUAUCUAAACACUCCACGUGAUUAAUGAAACGAGAAUAUUGCUUAAUGCAUCUAUAUUAAAGACUCACUUCCUCGCUCAAUAAUGUAAUUUUGAAACUAAUUUGGAUAGAUAACUUAGAGGAUGAUCAUUCUCAAGUAAUAAUAUCAACCCCAUAAAUCAGUAACCACGAUAAACACCAACAUCAACUAAGUAGAAUUAGCUGUUAAUGGUUCAAUUAGCUGUUAUAGAGAGAUAAUUUUACAAAGAGUGUACUGCUGUAAUAAACAUCAUUACUGUUAUAGGUAGAAUUUCGUUAUAGAGAAGUAAAAUAUAACAAAAAAAUUAAUUUCGGAGAAAAUCAAAUUGCUAUAAUAAAAUAUUGUUAUAACGAGGUGACAUUAUAGAAUGUCUGAUUGUAUAUAGUGUAUUUAGUAUAGGAGAUUUUUUUUUGAAUGAAUCUUUUCUUGUUUUAAAAUAGGAGCAAGAGAAUUUGGUAUAGUAGCACUUUAACUGCUUAUUUUUUUUCUUUGUAUAUGUUUUAUUGGUGUAGUUUGUUCGGAGAAAUAGAAGUGAAAGAAGAGCGAGAAGUAAGAAAAAUAACAAAUAAAUAGUUUGAGAGAGUGAAAGCACUCAUGAGUUGUACUUUGUCAAAGAAUAAUUAAUAAUUAUAUUUGAAUUGGAGAGUCGUAACUCUCAAUAACAUAUUAUUGAGUAAAAGGUUACUCACAGUUAUAUUUUAUCUCUGUCCCUCUUGACUUUUAUAGUUAGAAUAUUUUUAAAAAAUACUGUAUUACCUAAACGUUACUCACAUAUACGUUUAUUUCAAACCUAACUCAAUCUCUCAUUUCUCAAUUUAGUUACCUGAUUUUACUUCAUUAACUUGUGAAUAAGUUUGUGCUUCAUGCGGUAAUGAAAACCUCAUUAAAUUUAGAGUAAUGUUUUUUAUAAGAUUAGAUUAAGAGAUUUUUAAAAUUUUAAAUAUUCAAAAAAGUUUGUUCUUCUUCAAAUCCAAAUGGAUUAUAGUAAAUACUUAAUGCAAUGCAUUUCUAUACUUAAUGCAAUGCAUUUCUCUAACUUUGAAUUUUUUAGUAAAUAAAGUAACAUGAAGCUAAUAAAGAAGAACAAAUUGGUGCAAAAAUUAAUUUUCUAUAAAUAGUAUAUAAGGAAGAAAUAGACUUGAAACAUAUAGUUUGCAACAACUGCUUUUCGUUAUUGUUGGGUUUGAUUUUUGUACUCUUAUUCGUUUUCGCCUUAAGGGUGAAUAAAGCAUAAAACAGGUCCAUCUACUUCAAUCUACGGAAUCAAAUAACAAUACUUUUUCGUGCUUUAUUUCCCUCUCUAUUUUAGAGUACUUUUUAUAACUUUAUUAUUGGGACUGUUGUACAUAAUUUUCAAUAAUAUUGAAAUAAAGUAAUUAGAGAAAUAUGCAAAUGCAUAAGAAUUCAACCCAACCAAAAAUGUGAAUAAACCAUUAAUGUUUACCUUGGAAGUGGCGAUGAAAUAAAUAAAUUCCUCGUAUUUUCUUAUAGUUCUUACAUGAAUAUUGAAAUUCAAAUCUGCAAUAAAAGAUCAAUCUUAAUAGGCAUGUACCAAUAUGAGGAUAAUCCCUCAUUCUUCGUAAUUUGUGUUGAAAUUAUCAACAAAUAAUUUUACUAUUGAUUAUAUAAUAAAAAUAUUCUUGAUAACAAUUUAUAUACGUAGUUAGGAGAGACACAAAGGAAAAAAAAUAAAUACUAAACCACUAAUCCAGUUCUUUUUUAGAACAAAAGUGCAAAUUAUUUUUUUGCUUAGCCUAAAUAUAUUUAGUAAGCAAACACGAUUGUGUUUCCAAGAAAUGAUGACUUGACAACGAGAGCUAAUGCUCGACGCCCCACCAUCCUUAUAAUAGUCAACAAUAUCCAAGUCAUGACACACUAUAGCCAUCGAUUGUCCAUAUUCAUCAUUUUUCAAUUAGUCAACACUUUAUCAACUAACCAUCAUGUAAUACUAAUCCUCAUGUAUCAAUAAAUCAUCCUUUAUCAACUAAACAUAAAUUAUUAACUAAUCUUCAUAUAGCGUCUAAUCAUCACUUAUCAACUAGUCAUUAUUUACCAACAAACCAACAUUGGUCAACUAGCCAAUAUAUAUCAACUAAUCAUUAUAUACUAGAGUCUAUUCAUACUACAUUAUAACUAAUUCCUCAUUUUCAACUUGGCUACAUUGUCAAUCUGAUCACACCCCAAAGUCAUCAUAUCAUAAUAAGUAUAUCAUCAUAUUAUACUACUAAUAGCCGAACUCAAACCGGUAUGGAUAUUAAAUAAUAUCAUUAUAAAUAUCAUCCUAAUCAUCUUCCNNNNNNNNNNNNNNNNNNAGCAUAUAUAUAUAUAUAUAUAUAUAUAUAUAUAUCGUUAUAAUCAUCCCCCGACCUUGUCGGACAUAUAUAUUGUAGGACCCCACAAAUUUUCCUAGUCAUUAAAACUCUUUAAAGCAUGUCAAGGGAAGCUUCACACUUAGAAAAUUUGGCUAAGUAUUGGAACUUCUUCAUUUCAUAAGCCUUCAAACUUUGAUGAUUUAUUUCAUGACCUUCCCGACCUUUGGUAGUUGAUAUUUUAGCUAAUUCUUGUCCAGAAUGUCAAUAGAGUUUUUCAGACAAGUUUCAAAUUUUUCGAACCUCGUUUAGACCACGUUUGGGGUCUCAAAAUAGUAGACCAACGCGAUCUUGGCGCGCCGCGUCGCCUAUCGCGUUGGUUAACAUUGUUGCAGGCUGCCAGAGUCAAAAGUACUGAGGCUCUACGCGAUUAUGACGCAACGCGUCGGGUAUCGCGCCGAUGCCAUCGACACGCCGCAUCGACCAGCGCAUCGGCACCCAAUUUUUCAGUCAUUAAAAUAGCCGCGACCCCAGGAUUAUUUCAGUUUUUUUUCCCACUCUUAUAUAACCCUAAAACGCGUGUUUCAGCCAUAUUUUACCCAAAUCGUAGUGGUUUCUCUCAAUUUCUCUCAAGAACAAGUUUAGGGUUUCCAAUUGACGAUCCAAAUUCAAGAAAAUUUCACCGUCAAUCUUCGUAAAAUCAAGAACCAAGGUAUGUUAGAUGUUGAUUCUUGAAUUCCUUCCACCCAAGAAGUUCAAGAAUCAUUUUCUAAAAUUCAAAGAUUAUAUAUUUAUGAGUUUUCAUGAUUAAUGUGAAUUGAAAUUGAAGUUCAUGUUGUUAUUGAGUUUUUAAUUCAUGUUUUGUUUAUAAAGUUUCAAGCCUUGAUCCUAACAUGUGAUAUUUAUGUGAUGUUCAUGAUAAACCCCUUCAAGUUGCAUGUUUAUUGAUGUAUCCAUGAUAAUUAGGUGUAGGAAUUGUUGUAUAACCAAAGCAUGCUCCCCAUAUGUUUGAUAAAAUGCUUAUGUGAAGGAAAUAGAGUCAUUAUAGCAUGUUGACAAGAAAUCCCCAAUUGUGUAUAAGUUAAUGCAUGCCAAGUGUUUGUUGAAAGGCCUUAGUGAUGAAUUAUGAUAUGUUGUAUGCAUUCCUACUCAUGUGUAUUCCUUAUUGAAUGAAUUAUUAGAUAAUAGUAUGCACUCCCUAUACAUUUACAUGUUUAAGACUUCUAAGUGCUUGAAGAGAUGCCUCAUUAAUUGUGUUGUGAAUGAUAGCCUAUUGCCAUGUUAUGUAUGAGUUGUCGUGUCUUGUAUUAUUUAUGUUAUCGAGUCCUGGGGGUAUUUAUACCUGACAAAUUAGAGCUUGUCUAGAGCCAGUGUCAGUUUCAUGAUAAUCUCAGUCAUGCUAUGACUAGUAGUACUCUUAGUCAGUUACAGAACUCAGUAGAACUCAGACAGUGAUAGAACUUAGGAAAUCUCAGUAAUCUCAGUAUCAGUAGCAUUCCAAUUUUAGUUCAGUAAUCGAUUCAGAACUCAGUAAUAUUCCGUCAGUCAACGGAACUCAGUAAAUUUAGAUUAGCUCAGUCAAACAAGUACGAUCAGUAACAGUUUAGUCAAGCCUAGUAUGAAUUAGUAAUUAGUUCAGUGUUUUUCAGUUGGGAGUAAGAUUCACAUCGAGUGAACCUAGGGAUGAGGGCUCUCCCGCUAGAUAGGACUGAGAUCCCUAGAAGCAAUCCCUAAGUUCCAGAACAGCGUAGCCAGGUAGGUAUGAGAUAUCACCCGUUAGAUAGGACUGACAUACUCCGGGAUCACCCGCUAGUACAAGAUUGGUCUCAGGGGUCACCCGCUAGAUUAGGACUGACCCCAUAGCAGUUGUCUUUACCCGUGGAACAGUAUUGACACCCUUCCAGCUGGGGUUACAAGUUGGACCCCACUAGUUUAGAUUUGGGGCAUGUCGGUUAGAUGACUACCUCUCACAGUCUCAGCUUCAGAAUUAGUCUAAAUAAAAGAACUCAGCUCAAUAGCACAGAUUCAGGACUGUUAGAUAUAGUCACUCAUUAGUAUUAUCAAUGGAUUUAGAGAUCACCCGCUAGAUAGGACUGAUCUCAGAUUUAGUUAAGUAGUAUUAGUACCAACAGAUUCAGAGAUCAUCUGUUAGAUAGGACUGAUCUCAAAUACAGUUAAUUAGUAUCAAGUACCAUUAGAUUCAGAGAUCACCCGCUAGAUAUGACUGAUCUCAGAUUCAGUUAAUCAUCUUCAUUAUCAGUAUAUUCAGAGAUCACCCGUUAGAAAUGAAUGAUCUCAACCUCAGUCAAUCAAAUAUCAGUAUCAGUAGACUCAGUUAUCAGAAAUCUAGUUAUUAGAAUUCGGUAUUCAGUGUUCCUACGAUUUCAGUUAUAGUUGUGCAUUCAUGCAUGUAUCCUUAUUCAGUAUACUCAGAUGAUUUAGUCAGUAUUGUUCAUGCAUAUGAACCCCUACAUUUAGCCUACCUCAUCUAGCAUACCAGUACAUUCCACCGUACUGACGUAUACUUUUUUGUGCUAUGGUGUUUUAUACUAUAGGUUCAGAAUCAUAAGAUCCAGAGCACCCUUAGCAGUUCAGAUUCAGUCAGCAGCAGUAGACGUAGCCGUGAGUCCUCAUCAUUCAAGGAUAAUCUUUAUUUUAUUAUUUCACUAGAUUCAGUAUUUUAGUAGACAGAGUUAGUUGGGGACCUAUCCCAUCAACUCCACAGUUCAGACAAUUUAGAGGCUUUUCAGACAUAUGUAUCAGUAUUUAGUUUUCAGUUGUAUUUAAGAUAUUUAAGCCUCAUGGCAAGUUUUUUGCCAGUUUUCUGCAUUUUUAUAGUGUAUUAUGCAGUGCUCAGUUAUAGAUACUAGAAAAGGGUUAACUUGUGGUCCUUCAGGAUUAUGAGUACCGUGUAGCGUUUGGGGUACCAGACUUAUGGCGUUACAAACUUGGUAUCAGAGCCUAAGGUUCAACAGUGUCCUAGGAAGUCUGAAAUCCGUAUCUAGUAGUCUUGUGCAUGAGUGUGUUGCGCGCCACAUUUAUGCACAGGAGGCUAUAAAAUGUCUUAGGAACAAUUUCUCUUCUUUCAAUAUUCAUGUCAUGCGAGUGAGCAUGAGCUCAAGUUAAGACUCUCAGUGUAAUCCUGAUACGAUUCAAAUGGCCUCCUUAGCUUUCAAUGAGGUCAUUCGAAGUCAGUACGUGGGGCAUCAAGCUUUGGUCACAUUAAGGAAACAGGAUCCUACAUGGAGGGGCCGAUUUGAGUACACCAAAGAGCAACCCACAUGUGAAAGAUUGCUUGGAGCAUUGAAGAUUGAGGACUCACAGUUUUGGGCCUUCAUUAAGGAUAUUUUGAUUACUUAGCCUUGUCCAAGUAACACUCUAUGACCACCCCUUUUCAUUAAGGGUAUUGUGAUCUUUUUGUUAUGUAAUAAGUUAGACUAUAAAUAGGUUCUAUUAGUUCAUUUGGUAGUUAAUUUAUGAAAGAUAAAAGAUUGAAACAAUUGAAUUCCUUUCUCUUGAGAGUAGACUACCUUAGUAUAGUCUUAGUCAGGACUUGGAAAAGUCAUCCUUAGUAUAGGGCUUGGAAAAGCCAAUAUUGUUCUUUGCUUGAAAACGGUGGAUCUUGAGGUGAGUCGAUUACCUUGACGGUCACCGUAAGAGUGUGGUUCUGAUUAUUACAUUCAUUAGGGGUUAAUGUUGAAAUAUACUUGGUUCUUAAUCUUGUAAUAAUCUUGGUCUCACUAUCUAUCCUUUCAUUAUUUUGUAAAUCUGUGUGUUUUUGUGUUUGUCAUCUUGUAUCCCUUUGUGUUACUUGUUCUUCUCACAUUUUGUGGACUGUUUUGGCAUCUUGGUGGACUGAUUUGUAUCAUUUGGUAUCAAAGCAUGGAUUGAUCUUGUUCCCACAAGAUCAAUCUUGGGCUCGUAAACUUGAAAAUAAAAAAAAGUGUUAGAAAACUGAAAAAUCAAAAAGAGGUAAAUCUGUCCAUUUUUUGUGUUUGUUUGUGGCUGAAAUUGUGUUCUUGUUGUUGUUUUGGCCGAGAUUUGUGUCUAAAUCUAGGUGUGUUUUGAUUGUCUUAGUUGUUUCUAAGUGUUAGUUUUGUCUUCACUAACACCGUUGAGUCUAGAUCCAAGUUGAGCUUGAACAUGGUUGUUGGUAUUGUUGUUACGGUUUCAAGAACUUGAACAUUGUUGGUUUUGUUGUGUGGACCAAAACUUGAAGGUGGUUUGAGCUCGUGUUGUUGGUAUUUUGUUAUGGUUUUUAAGCUUGAAAAAGGUGUUGUUGAUUGUUGGAGGUUCAACGUGAGGCUAGGUUUUCAAAAAAGGUUUCAAGAACUUGAACAUUGUUGGUUUUGUUGUGUGGACCAAAACUUGAAGGUGGUUUGAGCUCGUGUUGUUGGUAUUUUGUUAUGGUUUUUAAGCUUGAAAAAGGUGUUGUUGAUUGUUGGAGGUUCAACGUGAGGCUAGGUUUUCGAACUUCUAUUGAAAGUUCUUGUUGUUCUAGACUCUCUUCAUGUCUAGUUGCAAAAAAGCUCUUCAAUAGUGUUGUUUGAUCCAAAAGCCAAGUGGAAAGAAGUGAGGCCUUUGUUAGUCUUUAAAACAAAUCCCAAAUACCUACCAAAAGCGAAGGAGGACAAAAAGAUCUACAAAAACUUUAUACUAAACGAGGGAAAAAAAUACCCUUUUAGGUGUCCAACAGAGGAAAGGGUCACCAACCCUUCAAAAAGGUGUCUUGCCCAAAAGGUGUAAGACAAGUCAAACCUUUUUGAAUGAGAAAAAGGGCUCCAAUCUUGAUAUUUUUCUUCCCCAAGGACGAAAUACACUUCUUCAAGAAUUGAAAAUUGAACCAAAAUUUCAAAGUUGAAAAAAUAAGAACCUUUAAAAAAUCGCACCAAUCCUAGACCGCCACAUCACUAAUUUUUGUACAAUACCGAAACUUAGGGCUUAAAAUCUUGGAUUCUUAGUUUCUUAUUGUUGAUUCUUAGUUUCAUUUUUUUUAUUCUUAUACUAAUUGGCAACUAGUAAUACCUACUAAGUUGUAAAUUAGUUUUUGAAUACGUUUCUUUCGUGUCUUCGUUAUUUGUGUGCUUUUCUCGUUUGUAACUCGUAGUAACUUCUUUAUUUCACGUUUAUAAGUGAAUUUUGUUUUGUGUCUUGAGUCAAUCAAAACAAGAAUCCAUUCCGACCUUCAAGUAGGAUUGACAUCUUAUUGACUACCGGAGUAUAAGCAACUUUCAAUAUUUGCCGCUCCAAUUGUGAGAAUCACAAAGGCGAGUGUAUCGAGUGUUGGUAAGGAGGUUUUUGUUUUCUUUUGUUUGUUCUUGUCUUUUUUGUUUUGUUUAUUAGGUACCAUGGCUGCGUAUAAUUUCAAGGCCACGUGUGAUCGCAUCCAUGACGAUCUUGAAGAUAUGCAACAACACAUUGAAAUUAUACGUCAAUUAUUACCCAAACUCUUUCCUCAAAAUCCAAUUGGCCAAACAACUGCGAUAAGAGCUUUCUGAAAGAAGUUGCUGCCCAAUCUUGUAAAGACGAACAUACUCAUGAACGUCAAGGUAAAAUAGCUAACCCUUACACUUUUGUGCAUGUGAAUGAUAAUUGUGUGGCUAGUAGCCCAUUGAGUGUGAGUUGUAGCUUGCCUAUAUGUGAUUCUAUUGUUUCUUUGACACUUGAUGAUGAUAUACUUGUUGUGAGUGUGGAUACACUAGUUGAUCCUAUUGAUGACCGAAUUGACUCUUCUUGUAAGAUCGAUUUAUGUCCACCUAGUGUUGAAAUCAUUGUGUUGAAUGAAAGUAUAUCGUCUUGUGAAAUUUAUGUUGAUCAACUUUUGUAUGAAAAUUGUCCACCACUUGAGGAUGUGUGUGAUGUGAUUAAUGAAUCUCAAGUGUUUGAUGAUGUUGAAAAUAUUAAUCAAAGGAAUAGGAGUAAACCCGAGAGCUAUUCUUGGGAUAAUCUUGCAUUUGAAAUCUCUUUGAAACUUGAUAUUGAUCUUUUAGAGAGUGAUGAACGUGUUUGUUCCGAAUAUGCCCGUGAUAUAGAUCAUGCUCUCUUAAGGUAUAAUGUCUUGUUUGAAGAUGAUAUAACCACUCCUAAUGAACCUAGUGGUGCAAAUGAUGGUAUAGCUUGCCUUAGAAGCUAUAGUCGAUAUGCUAAUCCACUAUGGUGUGAAAACAUUCCUCCUAAAGAUGAAAAUCUCUUCUUGAAAGAUGAGAGUACUCUUAAGGGUAAGGGAUGUGUGGAUUUGAAAACUACUUCUCCUUCUACUUUGUGUGACUUUAUUGUUGAGAGUACUCAUGGUGAUGAUUGUGAAACUAGUAGUGAGUACACACAUGAGGGCACCUUAGUAGAAGUCGACUUGAGUGAUACCUUUCUCUACUUUCAAUUUGCUCUGGAUAAUAUGUAUGUUAUUGUAGAGAGUAUGCCGUUUAUUUUGGGUGGAGACCACGGGAAAGGGGAGUGUUGUCUAGACCUGUAUCUAUGGCCACUCUUCCUGUUUGACCCCGGUGCCAAAUAUAGAAUUGGUGAUGAUGGUGCACCCAACUUGUUGCUUGGUUUACAUGACAAGCAAAGUAUUAUUUUUGGUGAAUUCUAUAGCCAAAUCCUUUGUGCAUUUUUCAUUAAUUAUGUAAUAUUUAGUUCAAAGAUCCUUGGUUAUAUUCUAAAUAUGUGAAACCUUGGCAUGUUGAGGUGAUUUGUCGUGUUUACCCUAACCCUCAUGCCAUGAGGAGUUUGUAUUUGUGUGUCCUUUCUUUGGUUUUGCAAGGUUUGGAUUCGAGGUCGAAUCAUUUUCAAGAAGGGGAGGAUGAUAUGAUUCAAUUGGCCUCCUUAGCUUUCAAUGACAUCAUUCGAAGUCAGUACGUGGGGUAUCAAACUUUGGUCACAUUAAGGAAACGGGAUCCUACAUGGAGGGGCCGAUUUGACUACACCAAGAGCAAUCCCACAUGUGAAAGAUUGCUUGGAGUAUUGAAGAUUAAGGACUCACGGUUUUGGGCCUUCAUUAAGGACAUUUUGGUUACUUAGCCUUGUCCAAGUGACACUCCAUGACCACCCCUUUUCAUUAAGGGUAUUGUGGUCAUUUUGUUAUGUAAUAAGUUAGACUAUAAAUAGGUUCUAUUAGUUCAUUUGCUAGUUAGUUUAUGAAAGAUGAAAGAUUGAAACACUUGAAAUCCUCUCUCUUGAGUGUAGACCACCUUAGUAUAGUCUUAGUUAGGACUUGGAAAAGGCAUCCUUAGUAUAGGGCUUGAAAAAGCCAAUAUUGUUCUCUGCUUGGAAACAGUGGAUCUUAAGGUGAGUCGAUUACCUUGGCGGUGACUGUAAGAGUGUGGUUUUGAUUAUUACAUUCAUUAGGGGUUAAUGUUGAAAUAUACUUGGUUUUUAAUCUUGUAAUAAUCUUGGUCUCACUAUCUAUCCUUUCAUUAUUUUGCAAAUUCAUGUGUUUUUGUGUUUGUCAUCUUGUUUCCUUUUGUGUUGCUUGUUUUUCUCACAUUUGUGGAUUGUUUGGGCAUCUUGGUGGACUGAUUUGUAUCAAAUCCAUUCUUUCUUUCAUUUAUAGAAUAUGCCUCCUCGCAGAGAUAAUGCCCAUAGAAAUGAUAACCAGCUACCUCAGCCCGUAGAUUCUUCGAAUGAGAAUGUGUCAUAUGCAGAAUUGCGGGCAGCCUUUCAGGCGCUAGCCCAAGCUAUGACAACUAGUUUUCAGGGUAACCGUCCGGCUGCAGCCUAACCUUAGCAAGAUGGCGGUUCAAUCGCAUCCAAAAUCAGAGAUUUCAUGAAUAUAAACCCGUCAGAAUUCUUUGGGUCAGUAGCAGGUGAGGACCCAUAACUUUAUCUUGGGAAGGUGAAGAAGAUCACCCAGAUUAUGCAUGUGUCUGAGGAGGAGAGUGUAGAAUUAGCAUCCUAUAGGUUGAAGGAUGUUGCUCAUGAUUGGGUAGUGAUAUGGAAGAAGCGUAGAGGGAAGGAUGCAACUCCCAUGACUUGGCAGGUAUUUCAGGAUGCAUUUUUAGAUACGUUUUUCCCACUCGAGAUCAGAGAAGUUAAGGUAGAAGAGUUCAUGAACCUAAGGCAAGGAUCCAUGACAGUGAAGGAGUAUUGCCUUAAGUUCAACCUGUUAGCUAAGUAUGCUCCUGAUUUGAUGGCUGACCCUAGAUCUAGCAUGAGUAAGUUUGUGAAUGGUGUGUCCGGGUUGGUAUUGAAGGAGUGUAGGACUGCUAUGCUCAAUAGAGAUAUGGAUCUUGCUAGGCUAAUGAUGCACGCUCAACAGAUUGAGGCCGAUAAGAUGAAGGAAAAAGAGACAGUGAAUAAGAAAGCCAAAAUAGGUAGUUAUAGAUUCUCUUAGGUAGGGUCACAGGGUGGUAACCGUUUUCAGCAUAGUCAGAAGUUUUUAGUCCCAGCUCUAUCCUCCGCUAGUGUACCAACACCAAACUUCAGGGAUGUCAGUUAUGAUGGGGCGCUACGCUCCAAAGCCCAGAUUAUCAUGAGAAGUGAGCGUACCUAUCCACUUUGUAAAGAAUGUGAAAAAAAUCACCUAGGUAUAUGUAGAGCAGGCAGCGAGGUAUGUUUUGGAUGUGGUAAGUUAGGCCAUAGGAUACGGGAGUGUAGAGUGCUAGAACAGAGGGGAUAAGAUUUGCGUCAGCAGGGCACCAAUAGUGGUCAGCGUCAGAAUAGAUUUUAUGCACUCCAAACCCAUCAUGAUUCAAAAAGUUUCCUUAAUAUAUAUUCGGGUAUGUUAUAAGUCCUUCAUCUUCAUUAUAUGCUUUGUUAGAUCUCUUACUCCUAUUUAAGCUUAAGUUUUCAGCAUGAGUUAGUCAGUAAGGCCAAUAAUUCAGUUUAGCAGUCAGACAGUUAAAUUCAUAUAGUUUGUUUUUCCUAUCUUUCCAUCUAGAUAUAUUAUCAGAAUGUCUAAGGAGUGUAGCUAUUCCAAGAUAGAGCAUCCAAGUAGUUGCGAGUUCAUCUUAGUUCAUGAGUCGUACAUUAGUUUCAGAUCCCAGAUGUUUAGUCAUGAUCCAGCUCGUAGGUGCCUUGUGCAUCGCCACAGUUUUCCUCAAGGGUCUCAAUAAAGUAAGCCUUCUUAGAGGGACAUAGUGUCCCAAGGGGGAGAUACCCUAUGGUUUCAUGACCUUAAACCCAUUCGGUUUCAUGCUUAGAUUUUCCUUACAAACUUAAUAUCAGUUAUCAUUGCAUACUCAAUCAUGCAUUCAAGAGUCAGUUCAGUCAAAUAUUCGUGCAUUAGAUAUGCAUGUUCAAUAGAAGAAGCUCAAGCUUAUCAAUAAUUUCAGUCAUGCUUUCAUGAGAAUCAACUCAGUCAGAUAUCUAUGCAUUAGAUAUGCAUGUUCAGUAUGAGAUUUCAGAAUAUCAGUAGUUCCAGUCUUAUAGUUAUGUUUCAGAUGUUCACGUCCCUUAUGUAAGUUCAGUCUAUCAGUAAUAUCAGCCUAGUCAGUCCCAUUCGAGGACGAAUGUUUCCAAGGGAGAAAUAUUGUAAGACCCCGUAAAUUCUCCUAGUCGUUAAAACUCUUUAAAGUAUGUCAAGGGAAGCUUCACACUUAAAAAAUUUGGCUAAGUUUUGGAACUUUUUCAUUUCAUAAGACUUCAAACUUUGAUGAUUUAUUUCAUGACCUUCCCGACCUUCGAUAGUUGAUAUUUUAGCUAAUUCUUGAUCCAGAAUAUCAAUAGGGGUUCCCGAACAAGUUUUGAAUUUUUUGAACCUCGUUUAGACCACAUUUGGGGUCUCAAAAUAGUAGAUCAACGUGAUCAUGGCCCGCCACCAUCGCCUAUCACAUUGGUUAACAAUGUUGUAGGCUGCCAGAAUAAAAAAUAUUGAGGCCCGAUGCGAUCAUGACGCAAUGCAUUGGCUAUCGCAUCGACCAACGCGUCGGCACCCAGUUUUCCAGUCAUUAAUAUAGCCGCUACCCCAGGGUUAUUUCAGUUUUUUCCCCACUCUUAUAUAACCCUAAAACACAUGAUUCAGCCAUAUUUCACCUGAACUGUAGUGGUUUCUCUCAAUUUCUCUCAAGAAGAAGUUUAGGGUUUCCAAUUGACAAUCCAAAUUCAAGAAAAUUCCACCGUCAAUCUUUGUAAAAUCAAUAACUAAGGUAUGUUAGAUGUUGAUUCUUGGGUUCCUUCCACCCAAGAAGUUCAAGAAUCCUGUUCUAAAAUUCAAAGAUUAUAUAUUUAUGAGUUUUCAUGAUUCAUGUGAAUUGAAAUUGAAGUUCAUGUUGUUAUUGAGUUUUUAAUUCAUGUUUUGUUUACAAAGUUCCAAGCUUUGAUCCUAGCAUGUGAUAUUUAUGUGAUGUUCAUGAUAAACCCUUUCAAGUUGCAUGUUGAUUGAUGUAUCCAUGAUAAUUAGGUGUAGAAAUUGUUGUAUAACCAAAGCAUGCUCCCCAUAUGUUUGAUAAAAUGCUUAUGUGAAGGAAAUAGAAUCAUUAUAGCAUGUUGACAAGAAAUCCCCAAUUGUGUAUAAGUUAAUGCAUGCCAAGUGUUUGUUGAAAAACCUUAGUGAAUGAAUUAUGAUAUGUUGCAUGCAUUCCUACUCAUGUGCAUUCCUUAUUGAAUGAAUUAUUAGAUAAUAGUAUGCACUCCCUAUACAUUUACAUGUUUAAGACUUCCAAUUGCUUGAAGAGAUGCCUCAUUGAUUGUGUUGUGAAUGAUAGCCUAUUGCCAUUUUAUGUACGAGUUGUCCUGUCUUGUAUUAUUUAUGUUAUCGAGUCCUGGGGGUAUUUAUACCCGACAAAUUAGAGCUUGUCUAGAGCCAGUGUCAUUUUCAUAAUAAUCUCAGUCAUGCCAUGAUUAGUAGUACUCUCAGUCAGUUGCAAAACUUAGUAGAACUCAGACAGUUACAGAACUUAUAAAAUUUCAGUAAUCUUAGUAUCAGUAGCAUUCCAGCUUCAGUUCAGUAAUAGAUUCAGAACUCAAUAAUAUUCCAUCAGUCAACGGAACUCAGUGAAUUUAGUUUAGCUCAGUCAAACAAGUACGAUCAGUAACAUUUCAGUCAAGCCUAGUAUGAAUUAGUAAUUAGUUCAGUGUCUUUCAGUUGGGAGUAGGAUUUAGCACCGAGCGAACCUAGGGAUGGGGGCUCACCCGCUAGAUACGACUAAGAUUCUUAGAAGCAAUACCUAUGUUCUAGAACUACGUAGCCAGCGUAGGUAUGAGAUGUCACCCAUUAGAUAGGAUUGACAUACUCCGGGGUCACCCGCUAGUACAUGAUUGGUCUAAGGGGUCACCCGCUAGAUUAAGAAUGACCCCAUAACAGUUGUCUUUAUCUGUGGCAUGGUGCUGACACCCUUCCAGCUGGGGUUACAGGUUGGACCCCACUAGUUCAGAUUCGGGGCAUGUCUCUUAGAUAACUACCUCCCAUAGUCCCAUCUUUAGAAUCAGUCUCAGUAAAAGAACUCAGCUCAGUAGCAUAGAUUCAGGACUGUUAGAUACAGUCACCCAUUGGUAUUAUCAAUAGAUUUAGAGAUCACCCGCUAAAUAGGACUGAUCUCAGAUUUAGUCAAGCAAUAUCAAUAUCAGUACCAACAGAUUCAGAGAUCACCCGUUAGAUAGGACUGAUCUCAAAUACAGUCAAUCAGUAUGAAGUACCAUUAGAUUCAGAGAUCACCCGCUAGAUAGGACUGAUCUCAGAUUUAGUUAAUCAUCUUCAUUAUUAGUAUAUUUAGAGAUUACCCGCUAGAAACGACUGAUCUCAGCCUCAGUCAAUCAGAUAUCAGUAGACUCAGUUAUCAGAAUUCCAGUUAUUAGAAUUUGGUAUUCAGUGUUCCUAUGAUUUCAAUUAUAGUUGUGCAUUCAUGUAUGUAUCCUCAUUCAAUAUACUCAGAUGAUUUUGUCUGUAUUGGUCAUGCAUAUGAACCCUUACAUUUAGCCUUACCUAAUCUAGCAUACCAGUACAUUCUACCUACUGAAGCAUACUUUUCUGCGCUAUGGUGUUUGAUACCAUAGGUUCAGAAGUACGAGAUCCAGAGCACCCUUAGCAGUUCAGAUUCAGUCAGCAGCAGUAGACAUAGCAGUGAGUCCUUAUCAUUCGAGGAUAAUCUUUAUUUUACUAUUGCACUAGAUUCAGUAUUUUAGUAGACGGAGUUAGUUGGGGACUUGUCCCAUCAACUCCACAGUUCAGACAGUUUAGAGGAUUUUCAGACGGAUGAAUUAGUAUGUAGUUUUCAAUUGCAUUUCAGAUAUUUGAACCUCAUGGCAAUGUUUCUGCCAGUUUUCUGCAUUUUUAUAGUGUAUUAUGCAGUGCUCAGUUAUGGAUACUAGAAAAGGGUUAGCUUGUGGUCCUUCGAGAUUAUGAGCACCGUGUAGCAUCCGGGGUACCAGACUUGGGGCGUUAUAUAUAUAUAUCAUCAUAAUCAUCCUUCAGCCUUAUCGGGUAUAAAUAAUCAAUAUCAUACUCAAUAUAUCCAAUAGCAAAUAAUUAGAGUAUUUAAUAGCAUAACCAUUAGCGUAGUAUAUUAACAUGAUCAAUAAUCAUAAUAGAAAUCAUGAGCUUUAGCAUAAUCAAUAGUAUGAUUGACAAUAUAGUAAGUAAGCACAACCUUUAGCAUAAUUAAUAGCAUAAUCACCAAUAUAGUCAAUAAAUACGAUAACUAACAUAAUCAAUAUGUAUUAUAAAGGAUAGACAAUAACUUUACAAUAGCCUAAUUAAUGGAUUAUCAUUAACAUAAAAGAUAACUUAUCAAUAGCUUGAUCAAUAAUUAAUCCAUGACAUAAUCUAUAGCUUUUUCAUAGAAUAAUAAUUAACUUAAUUUGUGGCUUAGUCAAUAUCAUACUCAAGGGCUCAUUCAGUAAUAUAUUCGGUAGCCCAAUCAAUAGCCAAACCAAUAGCAUACUCAGUAGCUCAUUACUAACAUAAACUUAAUCAAUAACUCAUUUAUAGCAUACUCAUUAAGCAUAUGUCAGCCAUCAUAGCCAACAAAUACCAAGGCAUCUAAAUAUCACUAAAAUAACCAUCUACCUAGAUGUACAUAAGCGUAUCAAAGGGUCUUUAGUAACUAUCACAAGUCUUGGACUAAGGUGGGUCGAAUAUCCCACUUAUAAACCCUUAAAAUCAUUUACCAAGCAAUGUCUAUCCCAGGCUAGGCUAAGGUAUUUAAAUCCUUUAUUAGAUAUUGAACAAGCCACAACUAGUUCUAGGAUAUCAACUCCUCCUAAUAUAGAGCAACUAAGUCCAUUCUACCUAAAUAUUGGCAAUUUAGGUAAGAUUUAUCCUAAAUUUAAGUACCAAGGAAGUCUUCUCAUUAGUUUAGUAACUGACCUAAGCAUAACCCUACAAGGUCAACUUCACCUAAGGUAAUUGGUUAACAAGGUUAAUCAUGCCCAAAAUGAUAUCCAAAAUAACCUAAAUGAUCCAACUAAUUCCAAGAAUUUCAAUUUAUUACACCAGCACUUAAAAUCCAUCCCAAAUUUGACACAAUAUCAUAAACAUACUAUGAAUUAGCCAAUCUAAAAAGGGGUAAAACCAAGCCUACCUGGAUGCCAAAGAAAGCUCAAAAGAUCUGCUAAAUUACCAUUUUUUUCCUUUCGAGAAACUUUCACAAAAUGCCAAGAUAUCAAAAUUAUAUUCUACUCAUCAAUACGAGAAUUAUGAUUCCCAUAUUUCACUAUUGUGCUUUGGAUCCAAAAAUCAUAUCAAAAUCUCAUGUGGGUCCUAUUCAGAAAAAAUCACGUUUUCAAAAUCAAUCCAGCGUUCCCUCAUGCUCAAGAAAUUAUUGCCUUAAAAAAUGAGUAAAAUUCAAGCUAAUUUGGGGUUAAAAUUAAGCCUCUAAGGUUUUGGAAUUUUUGAAGAAAAAAUAAAAAUUUCUACCAUGUAAAGGGUGAAAUCUUACCACAAAUUAGAAGAUAAUCGCAUAAACAUGUGUUAGCUCACCCACAAGCUUCAAUUUUAAGCUACCUCACUAUUUAGGGUUUUAGUUCUUAAGAAAAUGGGUGAAUAAUGAGAAAUUUUUUGCUAAAAUACUUACCAGGUUCUCAGGUCUCGCUUUCCCGACUCAAUGUUUGUGAUCGCCAUACAUAGCAACAAGGUCAUAAGACACUAUCGUAACAUCCCCUCCUAGCGAUCGCGGUCUAGUAGACUGGUCAAGGAUUCGCGUUCACAACUAAAAGUGUCACGAUAGCGGUGCUUACUACCCUGCUCAAGUAUCCAUGAUCGAGGACAAAGCCAUCACGAUCACGAUGUACCGAAAACAUCAGAUAUAGCUGAGACUUGGAAAAUUUUCAAGUCUUCUCUAGGCCCUUGGGAUUCAUCCGAAAUCCUGUAUACAUAAACGAAUUAUAUAACCAUAUCAAAUUUGAUGUUUCAGACUUAAUGGCGCUGUCAAAAUUUCCAUUCGAUGUCAUUUUAUCAAAAUAUUGGUCCGACACCCAAUUUUUAAUUUCUUAACUUUUUGAUCAAUAGGUCGAAAUGAGUUCGGGUGCCUUGAGACCCAAACCAAUAGUCCACCUAGCAUAAAAUCGAUAUUCUAAAGCUGUUGUAAUAGUUAGAAUUUGCAUUCAAGAUCGUUUAGUUGAAGUCUUUGUUGGUGGUCAUUUGGAACCAAUAAAGACUUCAAAAUAGAGAAUUGACUUUAAAACCAAAUGAACUAUCAAUUCCAGCAAAUCAUAAAUGACUUAGGAAAGCUAUAAAAAAGAUAUAAUGGAAAAAAUAAGCAACUAUAUGGAAGAUGAAUCAAAGAGUCAUUACACAAUCUCAGGACCAGAUAUAUUUGACCCUUUGAGAGUCUUCACAUAGCUGGUGAGGUAGCUUAUUAGUUAGCCUUACCUCCAGAUUUUACUGCUAUCUAUCCGGUUUUCUAUGUUUCUAUGUUGUAUUGAUAUAUUCUUAACCCAUCUCUUGUGCUUAGAUGGGACUUAGUUCAGUU
RNAcentral lists this long non-coding RNA (26908 nucleotides) under Capsicum annuum. Its description in RNAcentral is "long non-coding RNA (CANN_LNC001161)". The record is from RNAcentral. Lineage: Eukaryota; Viridiplantae; Streptophyta; Magnoliopsida; Solanales; Solanaceae.